RNAcentral lists this transfer RNA (72 nucleotides) under Parcubacteria bacterium C7867-007. RNAcentral's name for it is "tRNA-Arg". It matches the Rfam family "tRNA". From Rfam's summary of the family: Transfer RNA (tRNA) molecules are approximately 80 nucleotides in length. Their secondary structure includes four short double-helical elements and three loops (D, anti-codon, and T loops). Further hydrogen bonds mediate the characteristic L-shaped molecular structure. tRNAs have two regions of fundamental functional importance: the anti-codon, which is responsible for specific mRNA codon recognition, and the 3' end, to which the tRNAs corresponding amino acid is attached (by aminoacyl-tRNA synthetases). tRNAs cope with the degeneracy of the genetic code in two manners: having more than one tRNA (with a specific anti-codon) for a particular amino acid; and 'wobble' base-pairing, i.e. permitting non-standard base-pairing at the 3rd anti-codon position. The record is from RNAcentral. Lineage: Bacteria; Candidatus Parcubacteria.
GCCUUCAUAGCUCAAUGGAUAGAGCAUCUCACUCCUAACGAGACGAUCUUGGUUCGAUUCCAGGUGAAGGCA